AUGCAUCUAUCUGACAUGCCUGUAGCAGGUACUGGCUACUGCUAAAGUUUCCACCACAGAUGUAAGAAAAAAAAAGGUCCUUAUGCUUUUUGUCUGUGAUUGUGGCAGCCAAGAUUGACUAGAGGUAUGCAGAG
This is a small nucleolar RNA of Cercocebus atys (sooty mangabey), 134 nucleotides long. Lineage: Eukaryota; Metazoa; Chordata; Mammalia; Primates; Cercopithecidae. The record is from Ensembl.